Oreochromis aureus is the source of this 414-nucleotide long non-coding RNA. Lineage: Eukaryota; Metazoa; Chordata; Actinopteri; Cichliformes; Cichlidae. The record is from Ensembl.
AAAAUGCUGUGUCCCAUCCGGCUCGAAGGACCAAGAAAUGUCAGGAGUUUUCCUGUUAUGCAACUCAGUAUAUUGUCUGCUGCAACAACACUGGCCACAUGCCUGAUGUAACUUUCCACAUCCAUAGACAGCAGCUGACUCCUGCUUGGCCUCCAGCUUGCUUAAGUGUCUCAGGUAAGUGUUUCCUUCCUAAUUUAAUUUUUAUUUUUUAAAUUCUCUAUACAUUGCCUAAAUCUCCCUCCUUGUCUCACGACAAUGGUUGUGUCACUGGCUGAGUGCUACCGCUAGCAUUUCAUCACUGCACACAAACUCUAGAUAGUCACUGACAAGCACUGCUGAAGUAUCUGAUGGAAACAGAGGAUUGCAUUGAUGAGCCCUGACCUGUCAAGGUUGGACAUCCAUAAGAUGUAAAAG